GGGCCCGUGCAGUCAUCUGCCGCGUAUCCGAGCCAUCCGUGGUCCCCGGGUCCCAGUACUUGAGCUAUAGAACGACACUGUAACUAUCCGCACUAGAAAGUUCAUGACCAACCGACUCCUUCAGAGGAAACAAAUGGUCAUUGAUGUCCUUCACCCCGGGAAGGCAACAGUGCCUAAGACAGAAAUUCGGGAAAAACUAGCCAAAAUGUACAAGACCACACCGGAUGUCAUCUUUGUAUUUGGAUUCAGAACUCAUUUUGGUGGUGGCAAGACAACUGGCUUUGGCAUGAUUUAUGAUUCCCUGGAUUAUGCAAAGAAAAAUGAACCCAAACAUAGACUUGCAAGACAUGGCCUGUAUGAGAAGAAAAAGACCUCAAGAAAGCAACGAAAGGAACGCAAGAACAGAAUGAAGAAAGUCAGGGGGACUGCAAAGGCCAAUGUUGGUGCUGGCAAAAAGCCGAAGGAGUAAAGGUGCUGCAAUGAUGUUAGCUGUGGCCACUGUGGAUUUUUCACAAGAACAUUAAUAAACUAAAAACUUC
RNAcentral lists this small RNA (539 nucleotides) under Pan troglodytes (chimpanzee). RNAcentral describes it as "processed transcript". The record is from RNAcentral. Lineage: Eukaryota; Metazoa; Chordata; Mammalia; Primates; Hominidae.